UACGUAGGGUGCGAGCGUUAAUCGGAAUUACUGGGCGUAAAGCGUGCGCAGGCGGUUUGCUAAGCUUGAUGUGAAAGCCCCGGGCUUAACCUGGGAAUGGCAUUGAGGACUGGCAGGCUAGAGUGUGGCAGAGGGGGGUGGAAUUCCACGUGUAGCAGUGAAAUGCGUAGAGAUGUGGAGGAACACCGAUGGCGAAGGCAGCCCCCUGGGCUAACACUGACGCUCAGGCACGAAAGCGUGGGGAGCAAACAGG
RNAcentral lists this ribosomal RNA (253 nucleotides) under uncultured bacterium. Its description in RNAcentral is "partial 16S ribosomal RNA". It matches the Rfam family "Bacterial small subunit ribosomal RNA", at positions 524 to 776 of the family's 1533-position model. The record is from RNAcentral.